Non-coding RNA from Pelobates cultripes (western spadefoot toad), 212 nucleotides. NCBI's taxonomy places the organism in Eukaryota, Metazoa, Chordata, Amphibia, Anura, Pelobatidae. The record is from the annotation of a GenBank genome assembly.
GUCAGAAUUUGUGAAUAUGCAUUAGGUAUCAGUUACCUGCUUGGUCUUUGGCCAGAAACAGUUUAUCUGACCAAAGACAGCUUAAAGAUGAUCACCAGAUGAGGCAACAUUAGUCCAGAAAAUACAUUAGACCCAUUAUUUUUGUUCUCCACAAGUUUAAAGGGAUAAUCCAGACAUGGACCCCUUGCUCACGGUGCCAAGGGAGAUUUCAG